AUGGCUUUCGACUCUCUGUCUGAUGUGUCGCCAGUGAGCCGGCACUGGUCUAUUCGUGUGCGUGUUGCACGUAUGUGGGACUACUGUGGAACACGUGAUGGACAUCCUCCAAUACAUGUUGAUCUUGUAUUGGUGGAUGAGAAGGGUAACCAUAUUUAUGCUAAGAUUCUUGGAAACGAAGCAACAAAGUUCAAACAGCUUGUUGAGGAGCAGAAAGUCUACUGCUUCAAGAAGUUCUUGGUUGUUCCAAGCAAAGCUUCUUACAAGCCAUUCCCUGCCAAGUAUAUGAUUAGGUUCACACCAUGGACCACCGUUGUAGAUGCAGAGGAUGUUCAUCCAGAGUUCCCAAUGUAUGUGUACAACCUCAUGCCAUUCUCCGAACUGCCAUCACGUGUUGGUGCUCAGGAUUUCUUUGUUGUUGUUGGUGUGUCACAGCUGGCAUACGUGCGCAUGCCUACAAACAUAGCUGACACUCCAAAGCAAGUCAUUGCCCUCAGAGACGACAGGGCUGUAGAGUUUGAAGCACAGCUUGUGUACGACAAUGGACAGAACCUACCUGUUGUUGGUGUUUUUGUUGGUCUUCUGAUGAAAUCUUACAAUAAUGAUGAAACUCUGAGUGGAGGAUCUGCAUGUAGAUGGUAUCUAAACGAGGACAUUCCUGAAAUAGAUGACUGCUUUGAAAGGUUGGGUGAUGAUUUCCAGAAAGUUCAAUGGAUAUCAAAUGGUGCUGAGAAGUUUGCCGCAAAACGCAACCGAGCUGACCUGCCACAGAGAAGUGUCGACGAGCUUCGAAACAUGGACCCAUGGGAGACAGAGAACACGGAUUUCCUUUGCACCGUCACAAUUACAAAGGUGAUGCCUGAGCAGCCAUGGUGGUUCCAAUCGUGUUCUAAGUGCCAUCGGUCAGCCACCUCUUAUGGCUCCGAGUUCAAAUGCAGCGCAAGAUGUGUGUCGACGAAAGCUUACCCAAAAUUCCGUCUUUGUUUGGAAGGAACAGAUGGCACAGGCACAACAGAGUUUGUGUUCUUUAACCGAGUUGCACAACAACUUGUUGGAAAAUCUGUCAUGGCACUGCUAAGGUCAUCUGGGCUUCCUCGCGAGAUAGCUACUAUUGUGUCUCAAAAAUACACCCUCGCUGUCUCGGUGACCCAAAAGAGCCUAUCACAGAGAAACAUCUCAUUUCAAGUGAAUGGCAUUGAAACCUUCUUUGGGAGGCAGAACUCUGUGCCACAUGAUACUCGUGCCUCUACUGUGAUGCCCCUCGCAGCUCCAGCUGGUUCUUCAACUGACCAUGCGCCUGCUCUACCUAACAAUCCCAGCUCUGGUGAAGGGAUUCCUGAGCUCCCCAUAGAGACUGACAAAGAAAUCAAAAAGUCAAGCACAUCACGCGUGCCGCUUCGUCUCCUGAAGAGAAAGAAGACUGAUGCCUCUGCUGAAGUAGAGUUGUCAAGCAAAGUGACUGAAAAUGGUGCUUCAAGUGAUGGAACUAUAGUCCUGCCAAUUACACCUCCCAUUAAGAUUGACAAGACUGUUGUUACUGCCUCUGAUCCUCCAAAGAAGCCCAAGAAGGGAGACAAUGGCUCCAAAACAAAGUGA
Molecule: ribosomal RNA, 1596 nt
Filed under: Triticum aestivum (bread wheat)
Lineage: Eukaryota; Viridiplantae; Streptophyta; Magnoliopsida; Poales; Poaceae
Description: partial small subunit ribosomal RNA
Source: RNAcentral